UACAGAGGGUGCGAGCGUUAAUCGGAAUUACUGGGCGUAAAGGGUGCGUAGGCGGCUUUCUAAGUUGGAUGUGAAAACUCUGGGCUCAACCCAGAGCCUGCAUCCAAAACUGGAGAGCUAGGGUUCUGGAGGGGAAAGCGGAAUUCCUGGUGUAGCGGUGAAAUGCGUAGAUAUCAGGAGGAACACCGGUGGCGAAGGCGGCUUUCUGGACAGAUACCGACGCUGAGGCACGAAAGCUAGGGGAGCAAACAGG
Molecule: ribosomal RNA, 253 nt
Filed under: uncultured bacterium
Lineage: Bacteria
Description: partial 16S ribosomal RNA
Rfam family: Bacterial small subunit ribosomal RNA
Source: RNAcentral